GAAACACAGCCAGGAGUGAUGGACAACC
This 28-nucleotide non-coding RNA is filed under the name Homo sapiens (human). The record is from RNAcentral. Lineage: Eukaryota; Metazoa; Chordata; Mammalia; Primates; Hominidae.